This 2668-nucleotide long non-coding RNA is filed under the name Linum usitatissimum (flax). Its description in RNAcentral is "long non-coding RNA (LUSI_LNC003477)". The record is from RNAcentral. Lineage: Eukaryota; Viridiplantae; Streptophyta; Magnoliopsida; Malpighiales; Linaceae.
AGCGGAUCACUCUCUCGCCGCGCAUAUUUUUUUGGAAAUUUAUGGCACAACCAUCCUCACUGGAAAUUUCCUCCAACGACUUCCCCACCACUUCCGACAACAUAAAAGUUGAAAUAAAACCCACAAUACAUAUGUAAAAGCCAAAACCAUCAAGAUGUACUUAAUCCUGCUCACCUUCUUAUCCAAUGUGUAAGACUGCAAAACAAAAGCAGCCACAAUCAACCGACAUUCUUAUCCAAUGUAUAAGACUGCAAAACAAAAGCGGCCACAAUCAACCCGACUUUCCUCGCAACGGCAGUCAAUUCAUGACACGUGUACCUCAGCCGGGUCGGGAAACGCUCCGCAGGCCAUAUGAAAGUAGUCGAAUUGGGCCCAAAGUUCUCGAAAUAAGAACCCAAGUUCAUAUAACACAGUGAACAAUCCCUUGCUAUCAUGCCACAAAUACUCGUACCUAAUCCCCAUCAUCAGUCAAAACGCCAAUAUCAUGAAAUAUCCCAUUAACUGAAUCACGUAUUAAACCAACUUCUCGAUGAACGUGACUUUGAACUAAUAUCCGGGGAAAGUCUCUAAUAAUGCAACGAAGAACAUGGCGCAUGAGGAGAUCAACAGAGGAAACAUGACAAGAAAAUUAUGGGAUCUUUUGAACAACUCAAAAGAGGUUCUCAACAUUGUUUAACCACAUAAGAAGUUCGGUCAUAUAAUUUCUAAUGAAUUUAGUUAUUUAAUAAAUUAUUAGUAGAAAAAUUAAACUUGUUAAAAGACUUGUGGAUUUGGAAUACCUUCAAAGUCCAGGUGUAGAAGACAACUUGUCUGGUAACUGACAAUGGUUUAUUGGGAAUCCUACCAAUAAGAGACCAAUAGAAAAACAUAAAUGUCUAGCCAGGGAAAGAAAAACAAUCGUUGCUAAGUAAGAUUGAGAGAGUGAAGAACUCAAAUCUAUAUAAACUUAAAUGGUAUACGUAACAUAGUGGAACAAGUAUGAAGCAAAUAAAGAAAAUUAGGAUUUUGAUGGGAGGAAUGCAGGAAAGACUAGUGUUUGUUGUUAUAUCUCUAUUGUUACAUUCCCUUAUUUUUCAUCCACAUCACCGUGCUUCUACGGCAACAACAACUCAACAAUGAGUUCGAUUGUUGAGGGUUCCUCCGAAUUUUGGGUUUCAUUUUGAGUGGACAACGGUGAAUCAGGCAAUAACAUGAAGUUUUAUGUUGUUGGCAUUAUCAACAUGUGUAGAGACUACCUUGCAAAAUUGACUUUGAUUUUUUGUGGGGUCUUUUUUCCAGUUCUACUAUAGUAAGAUGUACUUAAUGAACACAACAUAACUCUAAGAAUCGGGGUUUUUAUUACAAAACUCAGAAUUCAGUAAGGGGAAGGCUUUUCUAUUUCGUUUCUUCUUUUUGUGCUCAUUUGAUUCAUUAAGGUUGUCGGUGACUCCAUUUAUCCAUUUGCAAAACGUGUAUCGUGCUUAAAAACCGAGUACAUGUCAAAAACCUAAUACAACACAUUGACAUGGUAAGAUUUCAAAAAAAUAAUCCCCACAAAGAUGUUCUAGUGGGCGAAUUUUACUUCUGGAAUCCUAACUCUGUUGACUGGAAAAUAUUUGCUGGAAAAAUUCAGCUCGACAUAAAUGGUUUGGACAAUGGAGAUUCUAUUUGAUCUUCAAAAAGUUUGAAUUUGCUCCUUUUAAGAUGAGGGUAUUGAUUGGAAAUUUUAAUUGAAAAGAUACGGAUAUUAGGUUCUUGUUAGAGAUGGAUUUAUAUUUUCAUAUGAAAAAAAUAAAUUUUCGGGCGAAGAGAUCAAAAUAAACGUGAAACUCUUAACUUUCUUAUUUAGAAAUAAAAUUCUAAAUUUAUAUGAAAUUUUCAGAGACAGAAUUAAACAUAGAUCAACUUAUGAUUAUAAGUGACUACUAAAGUACAAGGUUUCUCGACCCAAGUUGAGAGAGAACCAAUGGACCAUGCAUCUUUAAUUACCUUACAACAACUAUUAUAUAACUCUUAAAUGACACAAUCAAAAGGAUCACCUUAACACCUCUUCAUGCUACCAGGAGCUAAGCUGGAACUUGAAACAUCAUGGCUACUGUUGAGCGAGAAACCGAUAACGAACCAAAUGUCCUCUGUCUAAUAGUAGCAAAAAAAUGAAACUUUGUAUGAUGCCUGCGGAUCAUCAGUGAAAUUGCUUGAAACUUAGCUCACACCUACACACAUGCACAAUCAUUAUGCAUUUCCAAAUUAUUUACACUCAAGCUAACCAAAUCAACAAUAGUGACCACCUAUACUAUUUAAAACAUACCAUUCUUAUUAUUAUCAACAUUAAGUUUCGUAACCUUGCUAACUAAUCCCGUAAAAGCCUCAAUCCAGCAACUCGAAUUAAUGCAAAAAAUAGGCAUUGUUACCCAUAAUUAAAUCCAAAGUAAAAUAUUGAAAUUUUAAAACUUGUAUAAUCUAAUAGCAUCAGUAAGAACGGCUACUACAUUACAUACCAUCUCCAUAGCACAUUAUGCUGUCAUGACGCUCCAAUUAAGCCUAAAACACACAAAAUUUUAGUUCUUAGAUCAAGACUGAUAAGAUAUCAGCUUUAAUAGAUGUUUUGGAUCAUAUAAUUAUGAGAAAUGAGACUGAGGGCACGUCGAGUAUCCCAAUACAUAAUAGAUAGUGAUGUGAUUUUAAUGAA